This 283-nucleotide ribosomal RNA is filed under the name Aeromonas salmonicida subsp. salmonicida 01-B526. RNAcentral's name for it is "partial 16S ribosomal RNA". It matches the Rfam family "Bacterial small subunit ribosomal RNA", at positions 89 to 375 of the family's 1533-position model. Lineage: Bacteria; Pseudomonadati; Pseudomonadota; Gammaproteobacteria; Aeromonadales; Aeromonadaceae. The record is from RNAcentral.
CGGCGAGUGGCGAACGGGUGAGUAAUGCAUCGGAACGUGCCCACAAGAGGGGGAUAGCUUGGCGAAAGCCAAGGUAAUACCGCAUAAUCUCUAAGGAGGAAAGCGGGGGACCGAAAGGCCUCGCACUUGUGGAGCGGCUGAUGUCCGAUUAGCUUGUUGGUGGGGUAAAAGCCUACCAAGGCUACGAUCGGUAGCUGGUCUGAGAGGAUGAUCAGCCACACUGGGACUGAGACACGGCCCAGACUCCUACGGGAGGCAGCAGUGGGGAAUUUUGGACAAUGGG